UUUAUGGAGAGUUUGAUCCUGGCUCAGGAUGAACGCUGGCGGCGUGCCUAAUACAUGCAAGUCGAGCGAACAGACAAGGAGCUUGCUCCUUUGACGUUAGCGGCGGACGGGUGAGUAACACGUGGGUAACCUACCUGUAAGACUGGGAUAACUUCGGGAAACCGGAGCUAAUACCGGAUAAUAUUUCGAACCGCAUGGUUCGAUAGUGAAAGAUGGUUUUGCUAUCACUUAUAGAUGGACCCGCGCCGUAUUAGCUAGUUGGUAAGGUAACGGCUUACCAAGGCGACGAUACGUAGCCGACCUGAGAGGGUGAUCGGCCACACUGGAACUGAGACGCGGUCCAGACUCCUACGGGAG
This 357-nucleotide ribosomal RNA is filed under the name Staphylococcus haemolyticus. RNAcentral's name for it is "bacterial SSU rRNA". It matches the Rfam family "Bacterial small subunit ribosomal RNA", at positions 1 to 347 of the family's 1533-position model. The record is from RNAcentral. Lineage: Bacteria; Bacillati; Bacillota; Bacilli; Caryophanales; Staphylococcaceae.